Molecule: ribosomal RNA, 143 nt
Filed under: uncultured eukaryote
Lineage: Eukaryota
Description: partial 18S ribosomal RNA
Rfam family: Eukaryotic small subunit ribosomal RNA
Source: RNAcentral
UGGUGGAGUGAUUUGUCUGGUUAAUUCCGAUAACGAACGAGACCUUGACCUGCUAAAUAGUCCCGUCAAGUAUUUUGCUUGGCGGCUGACUUCUUAGAGGGACAAUCUGUGUUUCCAGCAGAUGGAAGCGCGAGGCGAUAACA